UACGGGGGGGGCAAGCGUUGUUCGGAAUUACUGGGCGUAAAGGGCUCGUAGGUGGCCAACUAAGUCAGACGUGAAAUCCCUCGGCUUAACCGGGGAACUGCAUCUGAUACUGGAUGGCUUGAGUUUGGGAGAGGGAUGUGGAAUUCCAGGUGUAGCGGUGAAAUGCGUAGAUAUCUGGAGGAACACCGGUGGCGAAGGCGGCAUCCUGGACCGGUAUUGACGCUGAGGCGCGAAAGCCAGGGGAGCAAACGGG
Molecule: ribosomal RNA, 253 nt
Filed under: uncultured bacterium
Lineage: Bacteria
Description: partial 16S ribosomal RNA
Rfam family: Bacterial small subunit ribosomal RNA
Source: RNAcentral